RNAcentral lists this unclassified non-coding RNA (20 nucleotides) under Mus musculus (house mouse). RNAcentral's name for it is "oocyte_clustered_small_RNA7714". The record is from RNAcentral. Lineage: Eukaryota; Metazoa; Chordata; Mammalia; Rodentia; Muridae.
UGACGCUGCAACAGGAUUCU